Molecule: long non-coding RNA, 321 nt
Filed under: Lupinus mutabilis
Lineage: Eukaryota; Viridiplantae; Streptophyta; Magnoliopsida; Fabales; Fabaceae
Description: partial ncRNA
Source: RNAcentral
GGCUGGUUUUUUGGCUAAUAUUCCCACUGGUUCAGACCUGAAAUUUCAGUGUGCAGACCCAGUCCCAGCCCCGCAGUCUUUGGUGCUUUUCCAGGCCGAUUCAGAGCAGGUUUUCCCGCUUCCGGAGGCUGGUUUCUCUGCUGUAAUUGAGCAGUCCGCUGCAGCAGUCAACAACGCUGUGUCGGCUGGUUCUUCGGCCAAUAUCUGCACUGGUUCAGACCUGAAAAUUCAGUGUGCAGACCCAGUCCCAGGCCCGCAAUUUUUCGAGCUUUUCCAGGCCGACUCAGAGCAGGUUUCUCCGUCUCCGAAGGCUGGUUUUUC